This 430-nucleotide ribosomal RNA is filed under the name Acidobacteriota bacterium. RNAcentral's name for it is "Acidobacteria bacterium partial 16S ribosomal RNA". It matches the Rfam family "Bacterial small subunit ribosomal RNA", at positions 355 to 776 of the family's 1533-position model. Lineage: Bacteria; Pseudomonadati; Acidobacteriota. The record is from RNAcentral.
UGGGGAAUAUUGGACAAUGGGCGAAAGCCUGAUCCAGCCAUGCCGCGUGUGUGAAGAAGGCCUUUUGGUUGUAAAGCACUUUAAGCGAGGAGGAGGCUACUUGGAUUAAUACUCUAGGAUAGUGGACGUUACUCGCAGAAUAAGCACCGGCUAACUCUGUGCCAGCAGCCGCGGUAAUACAGAGGGUGCGAGCGUUAAUCGGAUUUACUGGGCGUAAAGCGUGCGUAGGCGGCUUCUUAAGUCGGAUGUGAAAUCCCUGAGCUUAACUUAGGAAUUGCAUUCGAUACUAGGAAGCUAGAGUAUGGGAGAGGAUGGUAGAAUUCCAGGUGUAGCGGUAAAAUGCGUAGAGAUCUGGAGGAAUACCGAUGGCGAAGGCAGACAUCUGGCCUAAUACUGACGCUGAGGUACGAAAGCAUGGGGAGCAAACAGG